GACGAACGCUGGCGGCGUGCUUAACACAUGCAAGUCGAGCGAGGCCCCUCCUUCGGGAGGGUGUCCUAGCGGCGAACGGGUGAGUAACACGUGGGCAACCUGCCCUCAGCUCUGGGAUAACUCCGGGAAACCGGGGCUAAUACCGGAUACGACCUCCACGGGCCUCUGCGGAGGUGGAAAGUUUUUCGGCUGAGGAUGGGCCCGCGGCCUAUCAGCUAGUUGGUGGGGUAGUGGCCCACCAAGGCGACGACGGGUAGCCGGCCUGAGAGGGCGACCGGCCACACUGGGACUGAGACACGGCCCAGACUCCUACGGGAGGCAGCAGUGGGGAAUAUUGCGCAAUGGGCGAAAGCCUGACGCAGCGACGCCGCGUGAGGGACGAAGGCCUUCGGGUUGUAAACCUCUUUCAGCAGGGACGAAGCGAAAGUGACGGUACCUGCAGAAGAAGCACCGGCCAACUACGUG
Molecule: ribosomal RNA, 465 nt
Filed under: uncultured bacterium
Lineage: Bacteria
Description: partial 16S ribosomal RNA
Rfam family: Bacterial small subunit ribosomal RNA
Source: RNAcentral